ACGCCAGCAGGUGAGGAGGCUGGGGCCAGAUGACUGCUAGUGAGGGAGCAGAGACAAGACAGGCGAGCCUGUGACAGAGCGAGACCCUGUCUCAAAAAACAAAAACAAGACAUGUGAGCUUGGACUCCAGUGUGGAAUCCCAUGUCCGCUCAGUGCACCUUUCUCCCGCUGAAAGUACAAGAGGAGAGGGGAAACCCACAGGUGGAGCUGACCAUGAGGACUGUCACAGCUUUGAGAGGCAAACCCAGAAAUCAGCCCUCCAGCUUCCUCUACCAAGAAGACUGGCGGUUACAACCCUGGCUCUGUGGGGCUUCUCUUGCCCUCUCUUCUGACUGCCCCACUUGGCUCCAGGUGAGGGUGAGAGGAAGCUGGAGAUGGAAGAUGCAGCUGGGGGAACUCACCAGGCAGGUCUCAGGGAACUCUUUGAAUAAGAGGACACCAGAUCAUGCCUGCAGUUCCAGACCAGGAGCAACUAGCACCAGCCUCAGCAUGGAGCAGGACUUCAGUUCCAGCAGCGAGGACUGAGAUCAGACACAAGAGAAAGCUCCCUGAUGAGGUGGGGUGAUUCUAAAACGAAGGGCGGAAAUUAUCUGGGGAAUUUCCUUCCCGUGAAGCCUCAGGAACAUGCCAGUCCCCCACUUCGGUCUGUCCUGGGGGGUCUCACGCCCCUGUCCUCCUAGGGAAAUCUAGAUCCUCCAAACUCUGCCUGGGUUCUUCCUGGGGAGUCUUGACCCCUGCCUUGUGGUUAAUGUGGGAUAGGGGACCCGGGAACAGGGCUGCCUUCCUCUGGCCAAAGCCUGGCAAGCAAGUGUGGGAUGGGUGCUGUCUUCCUGAGAGGGACAAUAGAAGUGACAGAGCCCCCUAAUUCAAGACCCUGCAGAGUUGGUGUGAGAUCUUAUAAUAUCAGUCUCUAAGCCAGUGCCUCUCAAGCUCUCUGUGGUGAAGAAUCAAUUUUUAAAAUAUAUAAUCAGUCACAGAUCAAUGCUUUUGUAAAAUGCAAUAAAAGUUAAUUUCCAAAAAAA
RNAcentral lists this long non-coding RNA (1022 nucleotides) under Pan troglodytes (chimpanzee). RNAcentral's name for it is "lincRNA". Lineage: Eukaryota; Metazoa; Chordata; Mammalia; Primates; Hominidae. The record is from RNAcentral.